AAUGCUGUUGCCACUGUUUUGAGGUUGUGAGUUGUUGUUUGACAUGAGGUCUUAGGUUGGCCUGAGUUGGAUCUGAACAUCAGCCUGGGCCCGCCCUCCAGAGCCUCCUGUGGCCUCCAGAGAAGAACUAAAGAACUCUGUUGACUCAGUACUAAGAAGUAAUUUGGAGACCACGUCUGAGACAGCAGCAGGCAGGAGGGGACUCACACCACUUUCUGGAUGCCCGAGGCUGUGUACGUCAGGCCUUGGAGCUGGACGAUGGCAUCCACCAGGCUCUGAGGGCUCAGGCUGCUCUUGAAUUCCGUGAAGUUGUGCCGGGCCUCCUCCCUGCACCUGUGUCACCCUACCACAGGCCACAGUGUACAGUAUUCACCGAGGUGCUGGUGCUCGCCAACUGGCCCAUCAAAGCUUUGACGAAGUCCUUCAUCUGGGUAAAGUCACUUUGAUCAAUGCUGCCGGAGCCAUCAAUCAGGAAAGCAAUGUCCAUCUCUUGUCCUGGACACUCUGCGGUGAGAGAGAAGAGUCAGAUGCAUGCAUGGGCCUCAACUGUGUCCUGGGGUCCCAAAUACCUUCUUACUCAACAGAGGAAGGAUCCCCAACUCUGCAAUCAUUCACUCAAAUCCUCAUUAAAUACACACUCUCUCGGGCGUUAUAAAGCACAGGAGGAAAGCUGGUUCAGGGUUACAUUCUGGCACCAAAGUGCCUGUCCCUGAACCCCAGCUCUGCCGCUUCCGAGCUGAUGAAUUUAGGCAAGUAGCUUAAUUUCUCUGGCCUUCAGCUUCCUGUCUCUAAGAUGAGGAUCACAGUAGUGCCUACCACAUCAGAUUAUUACAACAGCAAAUAUCUACAUUAGCACAGGGGAUGGAUGGCCUUCUGUAAGGAUUAUUGUCCCUACAAUCGUACGUGGCAGGAAUUCUCAAGGCUUGCAGAAUGCACCAGCAGAGAAUAAUGGGUUAGCCACCAGGUCCAUCCCCUUCCAACACUAAGGCCUUCAUUUCCAGCUACAUGGAGCCAGCCAGCUAUAGCUCUCAGCAUCCCAAGAAUCCCUCUGGACAGGUGUGUUGCUAGGGUUACGCCCUGCAUAUGGGGUCAACCGGUGUCCAAGCUCCCAGGUCCUGGAAGCAUCUAUAAGAACCACAUUACCAUUCACCUUGCUGUUGUGUGACAAGCCUUUCCAGAUGCAACCCAGAGUCACCCCCAGAUAGGGAACCACAUGAGACCAAAGUAGCAAUUGCAUCACAGUCUAGUUUAGAGUUUCUAACGGGAGCAUGGUGAGUGGUCCCUGACAGGAGCAAAGGUGACUCAAAAGCCACUGUGCCACCAAAAAGCCCACCCAAGCACAGGUCCCAGAGAGCACAUGAAAGCUUCAGGCUUUGAGCUCUCUGCCCACGUUGCAGGCAGCUUACGAGCCUCUCACCCCUUCCUGCAGAGAAUGCUUGCGUGGGAAGGGAAGUGCUAACCUUGCCUUCCACCCAGACUGCUCUCCUCCUGCUUACCGACAUGGCUCUCAAGAAUAUUCUCAAACCUCAGAAUCUGUUUCUGGGAAGACCUGGCUGCAUAGCCCUAACUUUCAACAAGAUACUACCUCUGGCCUCAUGGAGUUCACACUGUAAGGAGAAAGACGUACUGCAUGCACAUACAUAAGCAGGGCCUUUCAGAUUGUCCCCUCAUUCACACAGAGGUCAUGGACUGUGUGCAGGACCCUGCUGUUGCCUCCACUAACACCUACAUCCUGUGUGAGGCACGGGGUGGCGAGCAAGCUGACCAGCACAACACUGAGGUGUCACACCCAGGCCUCAAAGCUACAACCUGCCUCCCACCUGCCCUCAAAGUGAAAAGGCUUUUUCCUCUCUCUGCUCCCCCACCCCCCACUUUGUCUGCUCCUCUCACCAGAGCCUCAAGCAUGCUGGGAGAAGUGGGGGAUCGCCACUUCCCCUUCUGCUUCUGCAGUGACCACAGUCUUGGGUAUCUCCUCUCCUGUGGGCCUAGGGAUGUCUGGUGCGUGUGGCGUAGGUGACAACAGCCAACCGUUACAGAGAGCCGCCAGACCCUGUACUCAUCAUCUCAUAUACAUACUAAUUAAUUUUAUUGUUGCAGUAACCUAAUGCAGUAGACACUACUGCAUUACCCCCCACACACCUGAGUAGCCAUUGUCCUGUAUUUCUGCUUAUGCUUUCAGCCUAUAAUAAAGUAGCCAUCCUUUUUUUCUAUCAGGUUUAUGGCAAGCUCUGUCAAAU
Molecule: long non-coding RNA, 2237 nt
Organism: Mus musculus (house mouse)
Lineage: Eukaryota; Metazoa; Chordata; Mammalia; Rodentia; Muridae
Product: predicted gene, 39091
Exons: 3
Source: RefSeq, a predicted model, not a curated record